Molecule: small nucleolar RNA, 159 nt
Organism: Erigeron canadensis
Lineage: Eukaryota; Viridiplantae; Streptophyta; Magnoliopsida; Asterales; Asteraceae
Product: small nucleolar RNA snoR2/U65
Exons: 1
Source: RefSeq, a predicted model, not a curated record
GGUUCGAUGCCACGUCGACGGUAGCUAAAAAAAUGCCUUGACCGAAGAUGCUAUGAUUGAACCGAUAAUAAGCUUUUUGUGCUUUUCGCAUUCUUAUAGGAACCUGUGAACUGCUUAUUUUUCCGUUCAUUCACAGAGCCGUUUUUUGCGAUCACAUUU